Molecule: ribosomal RNA, 556 nt
Filed under: uncultured Streptococcus sp.
Lineage: Bacteria; Bacillati; Bacillota; Bacilli; Lactobacillales; Streptococcaceae
Description: bacterial SSU rRNA
Rfam family: Bacterial small subunit ribosomal RNA
Source: RNAcentral
GAACGCUGGCGGCGUGCCUAAUACAUGCAAGUAGAACGCUGAAGGAAGGAGCUUGCUCUUUCCGGAUGAGUUGCGAACGGGUGAGUAACGCGUAGGUAACCUGCCUGGUAGCGGGGGAUAACUAUUGGAAACGAUAGCUAAUACCGCAUAACAGUAGAUAUCGCAUGAUAGCUGCUUGAAAGGUGCAAUUGCACCACUACCAGAUGGACCUGCGUUGUAUUAGCUAGUUGGUGAGGUAACGGCUCACCAAGGCAACGAUACAUAGCCGACCUGAGAGGGUGAUCGGCCACACUGGGACUGAGACACGGCCCAGACUCCUACGGGAGGCAGCAGUAGGGAAUCUUCGGCAAUGGACGGAAGUCUGACCGAGCAACGCCGCGUGAGUGAAGAAGGUUUUCGGAUCGUAAAGCUCUGUUGUAAGAGAAGAACGAGUGUGAGAGUGGAAAGUUCACACUGUGACGGUAUCUUACCAGAAAGGGACGGCUAACUACGUGCCAGCAGCCGCGGUAAUACGUAGGUCCCGAGCGUUGUCCGGAUUUAUUGGGCGUAAAGCGAG